Molecule: ribosomal RNA, 253 nt
Filed under: uncultured bacterium
Lineage: Bacteria
Description: partial 16S ribosomal RNA
Rfam family: Bacterial small subunit ribosomal RNA
Source: RNAcentral
GACGAACCGUGCGACCGUUGCUCGGAAUCACUGGGCGUAAAGGGCGCGUAGGCGGGAUGGCAAGUCAGUCGUGAAAUCUCUCGGCUCAACCGAGAAACGUCGGCUGAUACUGCCGUUCUUGAGGGAUGCAGAGGAGACUGGAAUUCCCGGUGUAGUGGUGAAAUGCGUAGAGAUCGGGAGGAACACCCGUGGCGAAGGCGGCCAACUGGGCCGGACCUGACGCUGAGGCGCGAAGGCGUGGGGAGCGAACGGG